This 441-nucleotide ribosomal RNA is filed under the name uncultured bacterium. Its description in RNAcentral is "bacterial SSU rRNA". It matches the Rfam family "Bacterial small subunit ribosomal RNA", at positions 958 to 1398 of the family's 1533-position model. The record is from RNAcentral.
AACGCGAAGAACCUUACCUACCCUUGACAUCCUCGGAAUUUGCUAGAGAUAGCGAAGUGCCUUCGGGAGCCGAGAGACAGGUGCUGCAUGGCUGUCGUCAGCUCGUGUCGUGAGAUGUUGGGUUAAGUCCCGUAACGAGCGCAACCCCUGUCCUUAGUUGCCACAGGUAAAGCUGGGAACUCUAAGGAGACUGCCGGUGAUAAGCCGGAGGAAGGUGGGGAUGACGUCAAGUCCUCAUGGCCCUUACGGGUAGGGCUACACACGUGCUACAAUGGGCGGUACAAAGGGAAGCGAAACCGCGAGGUGGAGCGAAUCUUAUAAAAGCUGCCCGUAGUCCGGAUUGGAGUCUGCAACUCGACUCCAUGAAGUUGGAAUCGCUAGUAAUCGCGGAUCAGAACGCCGCGGUGAAUACGUUCCCGGGCCUUGUACACACCGACGCAC